AAAUGAAGGAGAAACUUUGGUACCUUCCCAGUGAAACUUCCAGCCCCCUGUCACUGCCAGGACAAGGGUAAAUAGGAAUAUUUUCUCUCCCUGCAUCACCCACAGCACACCUCUUUUCUUAGCUAAGCAAGAGGCUUUUCCCUGGUGCCAGUGGAGUCACACUGCAGAAGAGUCACUGCUUUGUGGGACAGAUCAGUUUCUUUGUCUGCUUUGCACAAGUGUGAGGACACCAAGACACGGAGAUGGGAGUGGUCUUGCCCAAGGUCACACUGCAAACAAAUUGUCAUGGCAAGAGUCACUCAUCAGUUGCUGUGAGGAACAGCAGAGGAAAAUGUGGUCCAGCCUCAUAUGUUCCACUGUCAUCAUGGCACUGUGUUUCAGAUCCACUCUGUGUGCAGAUCGCAGUGGACAAUGGAGGCAAAGGAGGAGAAACGAAGAUGACUGAAGGACAAGUGACCAGGAAGCUAAAACCCUGAAGGAAUUUUCCUGAGUGAGUUUGUCCAAAGCAACAUUCACCACCUCAUUCAAUAUUUGCCUGCAAAAAAAAUGCCAAUUAUUAAGAGACAGUCCUGGCUGGGCAUCAAUAGGCAGCCAGGUGUGAGAAGUUGAAGAGAAAUACAUCUCAUUAAUGUGGAAUUGUUUUUAGGUUAAUAAUCUUGCGUUAAUUUUCCUUUAAAAUAUUGUCUUUGACCG
Molecule: long non-coding RNA, 693 nt
Organism: Pipra filicauda (Wire-tailed manakin)
Lineage: Eukaryota; Metazoa; Chordata; Aves; Passeriformes; Pipridae
Exons: 4
Source: RefSeq, a predicted model, not a curated record